GACGAACCGUGCGAACGUUGUUCGGAAUCACUGGGCUUAAAGGGCGCGUAGGCGGGCAUUCAAGUCCGGGGUGAAAGCCCCCAGCUCAACUGGGGAAGUGCCUUGGAAACUGGAUGUCUAGAGGGAGGUAGGGGCCUGUGGAACUUCGGGUGGAGCGGUGAAAUGCGUUGAUAUCCGAAGGAACGCCGGUGGCGAAAGCGACGGGCUGGACCUUUUCUGACGCUGAGGCGCGAAAGCUAGGGGAGCAAACAGG
Molecule: ribosomal RNA, 253 nt
Filed under: uncultured bacterium
Lineage: Bacteria
Description: partial 16S ribosomal RNA
Rfam family: Bacterial small subunit ribosomal RNA
Source: RNAcentral